RNAcentral lists this ribosomal RNA (465 nucleotides) under uncultured bacterium. RNAcentral describes it as "bacterial SSU rRNA". It matches the Rfam family "Bacterial small subunit ribosomal RNA", at positions 329 to 792 of the family's 1533-position model. The record is from RNAcentral.
GGCCAGACUCCUACGGGAGGCAGCAGUGAGGAAUAUUGGUCAAUGGUCGGGAGACUGAACCAGCCAAGCCGCGUGAGGGAUGAAGGCACAGAGUAUCGUAAACCUCUUUUGUCAGGGAACAAAGGCGGGGACGCGUCCCCGGAUGAGGGUACCUGAAGAAAAAGCAUCGGCUAACUUCGUGCCAGCAGCCGCGGUAAUACGGAGGAUGCGAGCGUUAUCCGGAUUUAUUGGGUUUAAAGGGUGCGUAGGCGGGGUGUGAAGUCAGCGGUAAAAUGGCGGGCCUCAACCCCGGCCUGCCGUUGAAACUGGCGGCCUAGAGUGGACGAGAAGUAUGCGGAAUGCGUGGUGUAGCGGUGAAAUGCAUAGAUAUCACGCAGAACUCCGAUUGCGAAGGCAGCAUACCGGCGCCCGACUGACGCUGAGGCACGAAAGCGUGGGUAUCGAACAGGAUUAGAUACCCGAGUA